RNAcentral lists this ribosomal RNA (253 nucleotides) under uncultured bacterium. RNAcentral's name for it is "partial 16S ribosomal RNA". It matches the Rfam family "Bacterial small subunit ribosomal RNA", at positions 524 to 776 of the family's 1533-position model. The record is from RNAcentral.
UACGUAGGGGGCAAGCGUUGUCCGGAAUCAUUGGGCGUAAAGAGCGCGUAGGCGGCCCAGUAAGUCCGCUGUGAAAGUCGGGGGCUCAACCCUCGGAUGCCGGUGGAUACUGUCGGGCUUGAGUACGGAAGAGGCGAGUGGAAUUCCUGGUGUAGCGGUGAAAUGCGCAGAUAUCAGGAGGAACACCAAUUGCGAAGGCAGCUCGCUGGGACGUUACUGACGCUGAGACGCGAAAGCGUGGGGAGCGAACAGG